RNAcentral lists this ribosomal RNA (359 nucleotides) under uncultured bacterium. RNAcentral's name for it is "bacterial SSU rRNA". It matches the Rfam family "Bacterial small subunit ribosomal RNA", at positions 8 to 353 of the family's 1533-position model. The record is from RNAcentral.
AGAGUUUGAUCCUGGCUCAGGAUGAACGCUAGCUACAGGCUUAACACAUGCAAGUCGAGGGGAAACGACAUCGAAAGCUUGCUUUUGAUGGGCGUCGACCGGCGCACGGGUGAGUAACGCGUAUCCAACCUGCCCCACCACUUGGGGAUAACCUUGCGAAAGUAAGACUAAUACCCAAUGAUAUCUCUAGAAGACAUCUGAAAAGAGAUUUAAAGAUUCAUCGGUGAUGGAUGGGGAUGCGUCUGAUUAGCUUGUUGGCGGGGUAACGGCCCACCAAGGCAACGAUCAGUAGGGGUUCUGAGAGGAAGGUCCCCCACAUUGGAACUGAGACACGGUCCAAACUCCUACGGGAGGCAGCA